Molecule: ribosomal RNA, 404 nt
Filed under: uncultured Rhodoferax sp.
Lineage: Bacteria; Pseudomonadati; Pseudomonadota; Betaproteobacteria; Burkholderiales; Comamonadaceae
Description: bacterial SSU rRNA
Rfam family: Bacterial small subunit ribosomal RNA
Source: RNAcentral
ACCUUGACAUGUACGGAACCCUUUAGAGAUAGAGGGGUGCUCGAAAGAGAGCCGUAACACAGGUGCUGCAUGGCUGUCGUCAGCUCGUGUCGUGAGAUGUUGGGUUAAGUCCCGCAACGAGCGCAACCCUUGUCAUUAGUUGCUACAUUCAGUUGGGCACUCUAAUGAGACUGCCGGUGACAAGCCGGAGGAAGGUGGGGAUGACGUCAAGUCCUCAUGGCCCUUAUAGGUGGGGCUACACACGUCAUACAAUGGCUGGUACAAAGGGUUGCCAACCCGCGAGGGGGAGCCAAUCCCAUAAAGCCAGUCGUAGUCCGGAUCGUAGUCUGCAACUCGACUACGUGAAGUCGGAAUCGCUAGUAAUCGUGGAUCAGAAUGUCACGGUGAAUACGUUCCCGGGUCUU